Long non-coding RNA from Cydia fagiglandana, 4511 nucleotides. RefSeq lists it as uncharacterized. The transcript has 2 exons. The record is from RefSeq and is a predicted model, not a curated record. Lineage: Eukaryota; Metazoa; Arthropoda; Insecta; Lepidoptera; Tortricidae.
CGUGUGGUGUUCAUCAAUAAAUAAGCAGAUGCCUGGCAACACUGGUGCGCAUGAUGGCGGCCGCUGUGUUACGGGCGCUCUGUAUGGACCGAAUAAUAAAUUGUUUUAUUUACCUAUAAUUAAUAUAAUUCCUCUAAAAGCAAACUAGAUUAAUGAUGUUAAGUGAACAUCACAAGUGGCGACGAGGUAAAACCGUGAGUACCUGAAAUUAUUCGCAAUAUGCAAAUUGAGGAAAUAUUGGUGCCAUAUUGGUUUGUAAACAGGGCCGACGAUUUGCAAAACGAACGCAUGUAUAUCAUAACAAAAUAAAGUACAAAACAAUGAAAUCGUGAGAAAUACAAGAUAUGAGUGACUUUCAGAUGCCUGUAACGGGUGUAACUCGGAGGCGUCUGAGGAUUAGUAAAUGGUGUAUGGUUCUUUUGGACAUUGAACCAAAUAAAGUACAUUGGCAGAUGACGAAUGUUGAAUUUUAUAAUACAGUCUGUUGAAAUAAAUAGAGUAAUUCGUCAAAAUUAAUUUGAUAAUAUAGAAAUACCUAAGUAUAUGGAAAUACAAUAUAAGAUUAAGUCAUAACUAAAAGUUAUUUUUCUUUUUAAAAGGGAAGAAUGGAUAAUUGUGUCAAAUAUUAGAUUCCUUAUCUAUUUCAUAUGGUAAAAUACAAGAUGUUCUAUGAAAUAAUAACUUGUAUUUUGUAGAAGUUUCUGUUUCAAAUACUUCCUUACAUUUUAUGCAAGAAUACAUGUACCUAUGUAGUUGCCUUGCAAACUAUAAACGAUGUACAUAUUCACCAGCAAAAUAGAAAUUUUCUUGUUUCCAUAUUUCCAAAAGGUCUAAGUACCUGCUGUAGGUAUUGCAUAGUAAAGUCUGUUUUGUGCUUGGAGUAUGAUGGUCAAACUAAGAACAUUUGUGUUGACCUUUAACGGAUCUCAUGUAAACAUUAAUGAUUCUCAAAAUAUACUGGCACAAAUGAUAUAAUUAAUUACAAUGUUUGUCAUCUAGGCUAUUCAAUUCAAGAUCUAUGAGCGAUUGCAGUGAUUGUGUGUACAUAUAUAGGUACAUAAAAUGCCAACAAGUUAUUGGCUUAGGCUGAUGCCGAAAGUAUGAUGUUAACAACUUGUGCGCCAAGUUGUAAAACAACAUCAUAAACCCCAUAAAAUGAUGGGAAUUAAUCGUUGGAAACGAAAAAUGUCGAAAUGACUAAUGGCUGCUGCCGGACAUAUGAUGUUAACGACUUAUACGCCAAGUCGUAAAGUAAUAACAUCAUAAACCCCAUAAAAUGAUGGGAACUAAUGGUUGGUCGCGAAUCAACAAGAUGGCUAAUGGGAAAUUCCCAUACCUACAUAAAUAAUGAUGUAAGGAACUCAUAAGGUUGAGUUUGCAAAGUAAUAACAGCAUUUAAUGAUGUAAUUAAUAAUAUAAUACCAUUAAUAAAUGGAACGUAAAGAGGUGAAUGUUGUUUGUGAGUUGUAUUGUACUUUAUAAGUUCUUAACAAAUCCUGUAAUGUGUAGCUGGCAAACACAAAUUUGUUAGUAACAAGGAAUAGAAAACUACUUAACCCUUUCUUUGGGUGCUAGUUCUAGCGUAAGACAAAGACAGUAUGAUUUUGUCUAUCUAUGAUUGAAUUGAUUAAGACAGCCAGUCCCUGGCCAAACUAUCUAUAGUAUCUAUAGAGUCCAUUGCUAUUGUCAGAUUGACAUUGAUUGACUGUCACUUUUGACACUUGACAGAUAGAGAUUGUUUCAGAAAUGUCAUCGAAACUAUUGUGUGUUUAGUUAAAUGUAAAUAAAUUAAAGUAAUGUUCCAGAGUAGAUUCAAUACAAUAUUGAAUCUACUAGAUUUUAGAUGUACUACAGGAAUGUGUAACUGUGCUCAUUACAGUUUUGGGCAAACAUGGACUAACAGUUUGUGUAAGUUUUCAGGUUUCUUGGACAUCACAAGAUUUUCCAAACUUACGGAGCAAAAUAUAGGUAUUGGAAGUUGUUGCAAGUGUAAAAUCAUGGAUAUGUCACAAUAUGUCUUAAAUAUAAUAUAAAAAGUAUAGUUUAACACAUUCAGACCAGGUCAGCAACUUAAAUGCAAUGUUGUUAACUAUAUAUAUUUGCAAUACGUCUAUAUAGCUGUUGUACGACAUUUCCAAAGAAAUAUCAGUGACCAGAAAAGGAGACUGGUUUAGCAGCGUGAAAUAUAAGGAUCUCAUCACAUAUGGUAUGUUACGAGCUAUGUUUGGAAAGUAUAUUGUACAACCCUAAAUGUCUGGAAAUAGGGUAAGUGGAAAUAAAAGAAAAUCUCAAUGAAGUUUUGAUCCUAACUAGUGACUAUGACGGAACUGUCAAAUCAUGACUGACAGUGAUUCAAGUCACACUGUUGAAAAAUAAUUGGACAAAUCGGUGUUCAUAUUUUUGAACUUGUAUGGCCUGCAUUUGUAAAGCACUGUUUUACUGCCUGCCUGUAUAUCAAAUAAUAAAUACAUUAGGUCCGGUGAUAUAAAUCAAUUUUGUAAGGGAUUAGAUGUUUUACCCUUAUUAAAGUCAUUACAAAGUAACAAUAAAUAUCUGUUGUAAAAUUACAUAACAUGGCAGCAUUACCUUAAUCCAAAUGAUUUAAAUGGAUGUAAAAGCAAACAUCAUUACAUACCAAAUAAAAUACAUUUUUAUGGUCAUACAUUUAUGCCUUGUUAUGCUAUUUUUGCAAAAUACACCCUUACGGGACAUACCAUCCUACCAAAGCUGUUACCAAGCAAAACUGAUUUAAACAGAAAAACUUUUUAAGACUAAGUAGAUACUCUUUUGGAUGAGAUUAUUCAUCAGAAUAAAUAAUUACCUACAACUAUACUUGUAUACAGCUUAUACUAGACCAUAUAUACUACCAGCGAACUAGUCGGUUAUUGUUAUUAGUCAAGAAUAACAAAAUCAAAUUAUUACAAGUCCAUCAACUUGAUUAGUGAUUAAUGGCUCGCAAGAGACAACUGGUUGAAUUUCUCAUAUACCUACCCAAAUAGGGAUAAACACACCCAUAUCGUAACAGAUGAAUUUUCCGGAUUUCUCUUACAGGUUACAAUGCCAAAGAUACGUUGGAAUAUGCGGCUGAUAACUGGCUACAUGCUUAACAGUCCAUUUGGGAUGCGAUGGGAAACCAUGUGCGCUACAGUAUAUCGCUUGUUCGGAUUUCUGGCGGAAGGUCUGUGGAGUCACUGGAGUCCUGUUUGGUGGUCCCAAAGAUUGGUGUUGGAUUCUUUAUUAAGUAAAUAACGCAAAUGAGCCACGACAUUGUAUAUUUUUAUGUGACCAGGCAACUGGUUAAAAUGUGCAAGUUCAGAUCACAUACACGAGUACCUAUUGGGCAACAAAGGCAAGUAGAUAAAUGAACAAGUUUUGUUAAUAGAUAAGUAACACAGGAUUUUGGACCAGAUAUUCAGCAAAUUAAUUCCUUAUUACAUAAGCUUUUCAGGUUACACAUCUGUAAAGUGCAGUCAUUGUUAAUAUGAUAACAGCAAAGUCAUAGUAAGAUAUACUUAACUAUGCAUAUUUAAAUUUUCAGUAAGUAACUAUACGGUUAUACAUAAGGAAAUUAUUUAUGAACAAUGAUGUAAAAUUUAUACACUGAUUAUAGUGGGUCUCACCAGAUAAGUGACAGAAGUCUGUAGAGACAUGUUUAACGAUUAUAGGUAGCGCAUUUGCGUUAAGUCUUGCGUAUUUAUCUUUAUAUUUACUUGUAGAACUGUGCAUGAUACAGGAAUUUAAAACUAUGUGAAACUUAUUUGAAUGUUUUUCACUAUUUAUUGUUUAUUUUGAAACAUGCUAUUUUUAUGGUGUAAAUGAAAUUGCAAAGCUCUGGCUUGUUCAAGAAAGCUAUACUACGUUACAAUUUAACUAUUUGUUGAUGCUUUUGACAACCUGGUUGCAUUAAACACUACUAGGUACAAUAAGGUAUUAAUAAUACUUGUAGGGAUUUAAACUAAUAUUUUUACCUAAACUAAAUAAUAUAAAAUAUUAUUUUAACAGAAUGUAGCAAACUAAAAGUUUUAGUUACUAAAAGUGUUAUUUGGAGUGCCCAUACAGGGUUCAUAACUGUUUCUUAUUGAAAUGUACCAUCUUAUAUAUGUACCUAUGAAAGCAAUUAAUGACUGAUUACUGAUUAAAAUUAUGGAAUGGAAUGUUAGGGAUUUGAUAAGGUAACUGGCUCAUAUAUAAGUACUUUAAACUAGGUACUAAAUUAUUGCAUGGAAUUUUUAUGAAAAUAAUAUAUUCUACAUGUAUUUAGCUGUAGAGGAUUAAUAGAAAACUGAUUUUAUAUGUAUGUGGUAAUUGCUAGUAUACUCUCUCUUCCUCGCGUUAUCCCGGCAUUUUGCCAUGGGUCAUGGGAGCCUGGAGUCCGCUUGACAACUAAUCCCAAGAAUUGACGUAGGCACUAGUUUUUACGGAAGCGACUGCCAUCUGACCUCCCAAAACAGAGGGGAAACUAGGUCUUAUUGGAAUAAUUGCUAGUAUACAUUGUAAUAAAUUUUAAUUUA